This 465-nucleotide ribosomal RNA is filed under the name Vreelandella stevensii. Its description in RNAcentral is "partial 16S ribosomal RNA". It matches the Rfam family "Bacterial small subunit ribosomal RNA", at positions 338 to 795 of the family's 1533-position model. Lineage: Bacteria; Pseudomonadati; Pseudomonadota; Gammaproteobacteria; Oceanospirillales; Halomonadaceae. The record is from RNAcentral.
CCUACGGGUGGCUGCAGUGGGGAAUAUUGGACAAUGGGGGGAACCCUGAUCCAGCCAUGCCGCGUGUGUGAAGAAGGCCCUCGGGUUGUAAAGCACUUUCAGUGAGGAAGAACGCCUGGUGGUUAAUACCCAUCAGGAAAGACAUCACUCACAGAAGAAGCACCGGCUAACUCCGUGCCAGCAGCCGCGGUAAUACGGAGGGUGCGAGCGUUAAUCGGAAUUACUGGGCGUAAAGCGCGCGUAGGUGGCUUGAUAAGCCGGUUGUGAAAGCCCCGGGCUCAACCUGGGAACGGCAUCCGGAACUGUCAAGCUAGAGUGCAGGAGAGGAAGGUAGAAUUCCCGGUUUAGCGGUGAAAUGCGUAGAGAUCGGGAGGAAUACCAGUGGCGAAGGCGGCCUUCUGGACUGACACUGACACUGAGGUGCGAAAGCGUGGGUAGCAAACAGGAUUAGAUACCCUAGUAGUC